AUAAAGAGUAUCAAGUCUUAAACAUAGGUAUGAAUAUUAGGGUAAUAUUUAUACCGGAUUGACCCGCUAUGAGAAUACUAUAUAGAAAGUUAUGCAAAGUGUCAUAAGUUAUCUCAUGGUGAUAAUAGUGUAUACCACUCUUCAACCUGAAACCACUAUGGAUCUUAGAUGUAGAGUCAAGUGCUUUAUUGCUGAUCCAACGUUGUCCGUAACUGGAUAACCAUAAAGAUAGUUGAUGGGUACUCCACGAAGCAUGCUGA
RNAcentral lists this long non-coding RNA (260 nucleotides) under Lathyrus oleraceus (garden pea). RNAcentral describes it as "Pisum sativum (pea) long non-coding RNA (PSAT_LNC005153)". The record is from RNAcentral. Lineage: Eukaryota; Viridiplantae; Streptophyta; Magnoliopsida; Fabales; Fabaceae.